This 1466-nucleotide ribosomal RNA is filed under the name unidentified nematode. RNAcentral's name for it is "SSU rRNA". It matches the Rfam family "Eukaryotic small subunit ribosomal RNA", at positions 167 to 1647 of the family's 1831-position model. Lineage: Eukaryota; Metazoa; Nematoda. The record is from RNAcentral.
AUACAUACGGUAUAUACCCUGACUUUUGGGAAAGGGUGCAAUUAUNAGAGCAAACCAAUCGCAUUUUCGGAUGUGUAGUUAUAAUUUUGCUGACUCUGAAUAACGCAGCAUAUCGGUGGCUUGUUCGCCGAUAUUCCGAAAAAGUGUCUGCCCUAUCAACCUGAUGGUAGUCUAUUAGUCUACCAUGGUUAUUACGGGUAACGGAGAAUAAGGGUUCGACUCCGGAGAGGGAGCCUUAGAAACGGCUACCACAUCCAAGGAAGGCAGCAGGCGCGAAACUUAUCCAAUCUUGAAUAGAUGAGAUAGUGACUAAAAAUAAAAAGACCAUUCCUAUGGAACGGUCAUUUCAAUGAGUUGAUCAUAAACCUUUUUUCGAGUAACAAGUGGAGGGCAAGUCUGGUGCCAGCAGCCGCGGUAAUUCCAGCUCCACUAGUGUAAAUCGUCAUUGCUGCGGUUAAAAAGCUCGUAGUUGGAUCUGAGUCGCAUGCAAUGAUUCGUCAUUGACGUUAAUCAUUGUUGUGACUAUUGUUGCUGGUUUUCUAAUGAGAUCUCGUUUUCUUAUUAGUGGCUAGCGNNNNNNNNNNNNNNNNNNNNNNNNNNNNAGAACAAGCGUUUGCUUGAAUGGUCGAUCAUGGAAUAAUAAAAGAGGACUUCGGUUCUAUUUAUUGGUUCAGGAACUGAAAUAAUGAUUAAGAGGGACAAUUCGGGGGCAUUCGUAUCCCUGCGCGAGAGGUGAAAUUCGUAGACCGUAGGGGGACGCACUAAAGCGAAAGCAUUUGCCAAGAAUGUCUUCAUUAAUCAAGAACGAAAGUCAGAGGUUCGAAGGCGAUUAGAUACCGCCCUAGUUCUGACCGUAAACUAUGCCAUCUAGCGAUUCGAUGGGAUACUGUUAUCUUGUCGAGGAGCUUUACGGAAACGAAAGUCUUUCGGUUCCUGGGGUAGUAUGGUUGCAAAGCUGAAACUUAAAGAAAUUGACGGAAUGGCACCACCAGGAGUGGAGCCUGCGGCUUAAUUUGACUCAACACGGGAAAACUCACCCGGCCCGGACACCGUAAGGAUUGACAGAUUGAAAGCUCUUUCUCGAUUUGGUGGUUGGUGGUGCAUGGCCGUUCUUAGUUGGUGGAGCGAUUUGUCUGGUUUAUUCCGAUAACGAGCGAGACUCUAGCCUGCUAAAUAGUGACUAGAUUUCGUACGCAUAUUAUACAUAUGUGUCUAUAUUGUCUAGUUUACUUCUUAGAGGGAUAAGCGGUGUUUAGCCGCACGAGAUUGAGCGAUAACAGGUCUGUGAUGCCCUUAGAUGUUCGGGGCUGCACGCGCGCUACAAUGGAAGAAACAACUGGCAUUGCCAUUGCCGAGAGGUAUUGGUAAACCGUUGAAAGUCUUCCGUGACCGGGAUAGGGGAUUGUAAUUAUUUCCCUUGAACGAGGAAUUCCUAGUAAGUGUGAGUCAUCAGCUCACGCUGAUUA